RNAcentral lists this ribosomal RNA (253 nucleotides) under uncultured bacterium. RNAcentral describes it as "partial 16S ribosomal RNA". It matches the Rfam family "Bacterial small subunit ribosomal RNA", at positions 524 to 776 of the family's 1533-position model. The record is from RNAcentral.
UACGGGGGGGGCAAGCGUUGUUCGGAAUUACUGGGCGUAAAGGGCUCGUAGGUGGCCAACUAAGUCAGACGUGAAAUCCCCGGGCUUAACCUGGGAACUGCAUUUGUGACUGCACGGCUAGAGUGUGUCAGAGGGGGGUAGAAUUCCACGUGUAGCAGUGAAAUGCGUAGAUAUGUGGAGGAAUACCGAUGGCGAAGGCAGCCCCCUGGGAUAACACUGACGCUCAUGCACGAAAGCGUGGGGAGCAAACAGG